Molecule: long non-coding RNA, 828 nt
Organism: Corythoichthys intestinalis (scribbled pipefish)
Lineage: Eukaryota; Metazoa; Chordata; Actinopteri; Syngnathiformes; Syngnathidae
Exons: 4
Source: RefSeq, a predicted model, not a curated record
AUUUCAUAAUACACGCGGUAUUUUAUGCCCCUGAAUGAUAUGGACCGCUUGGAUGUGUGUGGAAGCGAUCGCUAUAUUUAUUUAGUUUUUUUUAAUCCCGCGCCAUGAAAAUGAGUGACUUCCGGCUUCGGUCUUGCAUUGAGGAGGAGGGCGCUGUGACGUGUACGGUAGAAGACGUUCUCUUCACUAUACAGUGUACUGUUGUGUAUGAGGACGAAGGAUUCAGCUGAUUUUGCGGAUUAAUACUUUUAUUUUUUGCAUCACGCCAGCCAAACGGCUGCAGAAAAAUCUUUCUGUAUGCGGGAGAGGCGUAUGCGCCUUUUUGGAGUUUCAAAAGGUUCCCAUUCACUGUGGAUAUUUACUGUGGGACCAUUGGACUUACAAGGAAUCGGAACAAACACCAGGACCCACUGCUGCCCUCGAGGAGGCCCUGGUCUAGAGGCUUUGGAAAGUCGACAGAUAGAGCAAGAAAGUCACCAAGCUGGCAACACUGCUUCUUGGUAGUGUGGCCAUUUCCACAAGAUCAAAAAGGAGGUCACUGAUGGAUUUACCUGGGACUUUAGGAGCGGGGCUGCCACUGACAGAUUGACCAACGAAAACCGGAGAUAUGAUCCUUUUAAUUUCAACAUGACGAUACAAUCACCUGACAAAGGCACCUAGGAGGUGAGUGAAUGAGUGAUGCCUGCUCUGCUCUGCUCUGCUCCGCUACCGCCGCUCUUCGCGUGCGUUCGCCCGCCCACCCGUGGGUGGAAGGCUGAUGAGGAAGAGGAGAGAUCAUCCUGCCAUAAACUCUGUUUGAACCACCUCUCUUUGUCCCUCGGGGUCACA